RNAcentral lists this ribosomal RNA (253 nucleotides) under uncultured bacterium. Its description in RNAcentral is "partial 16S ribosomal RNA". It matches the Rfam family "Bacterial small subunit ribosomal RNA", at positions 524 to 776 of the family's 1533-position model. The record is from RNAcentral.
GACAGAGGGUGCAAGCGUUGUUCGGAAUUAUUGGGCGUAAAGGGCGCGUAGGCGGCUCUGUAAGUCAGAUGUGAAAGCCCGGGGCUCAACCCCGGGAGGCGGGUGGAUACUGUCAAGCUCGAGUCCGGAAGAGGCGAGUGGAAUUCCUGGUGUAGCGGUGAAAUGCGCAGAUAUCAGGAGGAACACCAAUGGCGAAGGCAGCUCGCUGGGACGUGACUGACGCUGAGACGCGAAAGCGUGGGGAGCAAACAGG